UGCCAGCAGCCGCGGUAAUACGUAAGUGGCGAGCAUUAUCCGGAUUUAUUGGGCAUAAAGCGCAUGUAGGUGGUUAAUUAAGUCAGAUGUAAAAGACUGCAGCUCAACUGCAGUAAGCAUUUGAUACUGAUUGACUAGAGGUUAGUAGAGGAAAGCGGAACUCACGGUGUAGCGGUGAAAUUCGUAGAUAUUGGGAAGAACACCAGUGGCGAAGGCGGCUCUCUGGUCCAUACCUGACGCUGAGGCGCGAAAGCGUGGGGAGCAAACAGGAUUAGAUA
RNAcentral lists this ribosomal RNA (278 nucleotides) under uncultured bacterium. RNAcentral's name for it is "partial 16S ribosomal RNA". It matches the Rfam family "Bacterial small subunit ribosomal RNA", at positions 506 to 784 of the family's 1533-position model. The record is from RNAcentral.